GGCGGUGUCCUCGUCGUGAGCGCGCACGCGGCUUGGAGAGAGGUCGUCCAACUUUUUGAAUUCAUAUUUAAAACGACAAUAACCGUUUCCCGAAGUCUAUUUAAAGCUGCGCCAAAAAAUAGGAACCUUCACUUGCCUUUUGGUCUCUCUCUUGCAGCGGUUAGACCGAAAUGAUAUAUUUGCAACGGCACGGCUGCUCGAAUUUAGAAAAAUGAACACACAAAUUAGUGCUGUCAAUGUAGGCGGAAUGGAAUGCGUUCUUUAUAUUUUUAAAAAAAAGUCUUAAGGAGCGCGUUUAAAACAUCGAAGUGUGAAUAAAAUGUGAUUUUCUACAGAGUGCAGUACGGAGCCGACCUUUUUAGUGAUGUUACAGGGCGGACAGGUUUAGAUGGCCUCCAUCCACCCUUUACGUUCCUUCACAUGUUUCACAGCUGCUGCCCAGUGACUAAAUGAAUUGCCAGUAUUUAAAAACAAUCAUUGGAACGGUCACUUCAUGCUGUCAUUUAAGAGCGGGGACGUUGAUAAUGCAUAUUUUGCAUACACUUCACCAUUGUCACUCUUCAAAAAUAAACGAAGUUAUUCGGAAUGUGAAGCAAGUGUUUGCACAACAUUUACAAUGGAAUGGGUAAAUGGCGGACACAUGGGUGAAAUUGGAGAAUCAAAUAUUGUGAAAAUUGAACAGGUACAAGGACAUUCUGAUAAAAGGCUGGAGGCUACAUCAGGGACACCGGAGAAAAGUGGCAGAUAGAUGUAACACAAAACAAUCCAGAAUGAUUAUUACAAGAAUUAUGGUUUGAUUGGAGGAUCGAUUGAAAUAAUAUUACAGAAUUGGAUGUCUUCAGGGGAUUGGAUGGACAAAAGCCACGGAGAACCAAGGCUGGGAUGAAUUGAAGGUUUAAUUUCAGAUGGAGCAGAAAAAAAGUGAGCUGCUACGAUGCCUUGGGUGACAAGACCAGACCGGUCUCUCAAUACCAUCUACAUCCAAGAUUGUUGAACAGUUAUGUAGGAAGAUCCAGACGAAUAAAUACAAACAUGGACUCUUUCAAUUACAGUGAGAUAUUGAACAUGGAUCGUUGGUUGAUUAGAGAAUGGAAUUUAGAUUUCUUUAACGUGCAUAGUUGUUCCUUAUGUAUCCCGUUCGGUUACCGGUAAUGACUCAUAUACGUUAAUACUAAAAUAAAAACCUUAUUUCUAAACCAG
Molecule: long non-coding RNA, 1200 nt
Organism: Rhincodon typus (whale shark)
Lineage: Eukaryota; Metazoa; Chordata; Chondrichthyes; Orectolobiformes; Rhincodontidae
Exons: 2
Source: RefSeq, a predicted model, not a curated record